CCUACGGGAGGCAGCAGUGGGGAAUAUUGCACAAUGGGGGAAACCCUGAUGCAGCGACGCCGCGUGAGUGAAGAAGUAAUUCGUAAUGUAAAGCUCUAUCAGCAGGGAAGAAAAUGACGGUAACUGAGUAAGAAGCCCCGGCUAACUACGUGCCAGCAGCCGCGGUAUUACGUAGGGGGCAAGCGUGAUCCGGAUUUACUGGGGGUAAAGGGAGCGUAGACGGCAGUGCAAGUCUGGAGUGAAAGGCGGGGGCUCAACCCCCGGACUGCUCUGGAAACUGUACGGCUGGAGUGCAGAAGAGGUAAGUGGAAUUCCGAGUGUAGCGGUGAAAUGCGUAGAUAUAAGGAGGAACACCAGUGGCGAAGGCGGCUUACUGGACUGUAACUGACGUUGAGGCUCGAAAGCGUGGGGAGCAAACAGGAUUAGAUACCCUAGUAGUC
This 440-nucleotide ribosomal RNA is filed under the name uncultured bacterium. RNAcentral describes it as "partial 16S ribosomal RNA". It matches the Rfam family "Bacterial small subunit ribosomal RNA", at positions 338 to 795 of the family's 1533-position model. The record is from RNAcentral.